This 468-nucleotide ribosomal RNA is filed under the name uncultured bacterium. RNAcentral's name for it is "partial 16S ribosomal RNA". It matches the Rfam family "Bacterial small subunit ribosomal RNA", at positions 28 to 507 of the family's 1533-position model. The record is from RNAcentral.
GACGAACGCUGGCGGCGUGCUUAACACAUGCAAGUCGAACGGAAAGGCCCUGCUUUUGUGGGGUGCUCGAGUGGCGAACGGGUGAGUAACACGUGAGUAACCUGCCCUUGACUUUGGGAUAACUUCAGGAAACUGGAGCUAAUACCGGAUAGGAGCUCCUGCUGCAUGGUGGGGGUUGGAAAGUUUCGGCGGUUGGGGAUGGACUCGCGGCUUAUCAGCUUGUUGGUGGGGUAGUGGCUUACCAAGGCUUUGACGGGUAGCCGGCCUGCGAGGGUGACCGGCCACAUUGGGACUGAGAUACGGCCCAGACUCCUACGGGAGGCAGCAGUGGGGAAUAUUGCACAAUGGGCGGAAGCCUGAUGCAGCAACGCCGCGUGCGGGAUGACGGCCUUCGGGUUGUAAACCGCUUUCGCCUGUGACGAAGCGUGAGUGACGGUAAUGGGUAAAGAAGCACCGGCUAACUACGUG